Molecule: unclassified non-coding RNA, 593 nt
Filed under: Athalia rosae (coleseed sawfly)
Lineage: Eukaryota; Metazoa; Arthropoda; Insecta; Hymenoptera; Athaliidae
Description: misc RNA ENSAEAG00005007820.1
Source: RNAcentral
CAACUUCGAAAGCGACAUACACGCAGGUGUAAACAUAGGUGAGUAUCUGGCACAACGCGAUCGAUAACGAAUCACCAUUUUAUUAAUAACGUUAAAACUCUGACGAGGGUCUUCUCGCUCGCUAAAAUUCCACAACUCGGGAAGGCUGGCCGGCAUUCCAGUAGUAGGUAGUAGGCAACCGGAGAAGCAGAGAGCGGUCGCAGAGCGAUAAUAGAGAAUAGAAAAUAAAAUAAAAGGAGCGGAAAGAGGCAAAAAAAAACUAAUACCCAAUGCUGAAAAUAUCAGAGUCCAUAUUAUCAGAAGAGUGAGGGACAGCCUACGAAGUCGUAUAGCCGUAUGUCCGCUGAAUACAAAAAAUUGGUGCAUUGGUGCAAAAUCACUUAUUCUACGGAUGCACAUUUAUAAUUGUAACAAAUACGUACCUUUGGUUCUUUCGGAUGUGAUUGAAGAAAUAUUUUAUUUAGAUUUGAAGAAUUAGACGAAACUAUCGUCGAUUAUGUUGUUGUCGGAUUGAUCGUCGGUGUACACUGUACAAAUAUGUUCGAAUGUAUUUCACCCCGUUGAUUCUGAAAAUAAAUAUUUGCCUUCAUUCG